Molecule: long non-coding RNA, 3180 nt
Filed under: Pelobates cultripes (western spadefoot toad)
Lineage: Eukaryota; Metazoa; Chordata; Amphibia; Anura; Pelobatidae
Source: RNAcentral
CAGAGAAUCCUCCCACUACUACAACAACCACCACCACAACUACACCAGCUACAACAGCCACCACCAAAACUAUAUCACCUACCACAGCCACUGAACUUACUACACCAAAUACAACAACCACCACAGAUAUACGCCCUAUUAACACUACAGCAGCCACCACUCAUAUGCCCCCUACAAACACUACAGCAGCCACUACUGAUAUACCCCCUAUAAACACUACAGCAGCCACCACAGAUAUACCCCCUACAAACACUACAGCAGCCACCAUUGCUAUACCCCCUUUAAACACUACAGCAGCCACCACUCAUACGCCCCAUACAAACACUACAGCAGCCACUACUGAUAUACCCCCUUUAAACAGUACAGCAGCCACCACAGAUAUACCCCCUACAAACACUACAGCAGCCACCACUGAUAUACCCCCUAUAAACACUACAGCAGCCACCACAGAUGUUCCCCGCACAAGCACUAAAUCAGCCACCAGUGAUAUACCCCUUAUAAACACUACAGCAGCCACCACUGAUAUACCCCCUAUAAACACUACAGCAGCCACCACUGAUAUACCCCCUAUAAACACUACAGCAGCCACCACUGAUAUACCCCCUAUAAACACUACAGCAGCCACCACUGAUAUACCCCCUAUAAACACUACAGCAGCCACUACUGAUAUACCCCCUAUAAUCACUACAGCAGCCACCACAGAUAUACCCCCUACAAACACUACAGCAGCCACCACUGAUAUACCCCCUACAAACACUACAGCAGCCACCACUGAUAUACCCCCUAUAAACACUAGAGCAGCCACUACUGACACUACUGAUAUACCUCCUAUAAAUACUACAGCAGCCACCACUGAUAUACCCCCUAUAAACACUACAGCAGCCACCACUGAUAUACCCCCUAUAAUCACUACAGCAGCCACCACAGAUAUACCCCCUACAAACACUACAGCAGCCACCACUGACAUACCCCCUAUAAACACUACAGCAGCCACCACAGAUAUACCCCCUACAAACACUACAGCAGCCACCACUGAUAUACCCCCUAUAAACACUACAGCAGCCACCACAGAGCACAAGCACCAGCCACCAGCACUACAGCAGCCACCACUGAUAUACCCCCUAUAAACACUACAGCAGCCACCACUGAUAUACCCCCUAUAAACACUACAGCAGCCACCACUGAUAUACCCCCUAUAAUCACUACAGCAGCCACCACAGAUAUACCCCCUACAAACACUACAGUAGCCACCACUGACAUACCCCCUAUAAACACUACAGCAGCCACCACAGAUAUACCCCCUACAAACACUACAGCAGCCACCACUGAUAUACCCCCUAUAAACACUACAGCAGCCACCACUGCCACUACUGAUAUACCUCCUAUAAACACUACAGCAUCCACGACUGAUAUACCCCCUAUAAACACUACAGCAUCCACCACAGAUAUAUCUCAUGGCAACAGCUCAGCAACCACAAAACAUAUAUCCCUUUCCAACAAUACAUCAACGACAACCCAUCAUCCUGCUACAACAAAUUCUCUAUGCUCUAAUACUUCUGUGACCCCUAUUGUAAUACCAACGUCAAAAGUGCAAUCAGUUGAUAACAUUACUGUCACUCAUGUCCAGAGCAAAACUAAACAAACUGUAAGACUCCUGGCACAAACUGUAAAUGGUAAAAAAGUACAUACCUUUGAAGUCAACACGACAAUUGCUGUCAGAAUUGAGAUGAAGACCAUUACGCCUUCUAAAAUCUUCAUCAAAACCAGUGAAUCGGUUACUCCUCAAUACCUACUAGUCUAUGUUGCAGGUGAGAACUCUGACUCAGGUACUGAGCAUCCAGACAGUGUAGUGAACACAAGUGAAACCACAAUCCCUAACACAGAACCUUUUCAGCCAGAUUCUUAUUGCAGCCAACCAGCUCAGGCAAAUACCAUCACAGAAUCAUCAUCAGUUGCUGGAAAUACCUGUUCUGAAGUUACCUCUGCUACUGCUGUCACCACCAUAACCACUACAGAGGAGGUGAUUGUUACUGGUCCAAAUGGAUUUUCCUCUAAAUGCACUAAAUAUUAACCGUUCUUUAUUCCACGCUGUUCUUCUCAUGUUUGCUAAGGAAAAGUAGCUAAUCUAUAGUAAGUUACUAGAUUUUAGGCAAUCGGCAGAAACAAUGAUGUUUUUACAGUGAUUACUCUAAAAUAAAAACUUUACACCAUAUUAUUUUUCUUAAUAAAUAUUGGCAAGUUCUUUUAUGCAAACAAUAUUAUUUGUAGACUGCUUUAUUUUCUAUAUACCCAUUAUCAUUACUGAUGACAUUAUAAAUGUUUUCAUAAAGAAACAUUUCUUAAUAUGUUUUCCAGUAAAGUGCUUGGCACAUAUCUUGCAUAUGGAAUCAAUGACGAAAAGCAUCUUAAGAAAAUAACAAACAUCAAUAUUCUUGAAUAUUGCAGUAAUAGAAUAUUUUAGGAUUUACAUAUAUUUUGACAUUUCCAUUUUUAAAGACUGAUACAGGAUUUCUUGAUUUAAAAUUGGAUGUGUUUAAUUCAAAAAGUAUUUGCUAAAGUAUGUAAAAUUAUGCAUGGUUAACAUAAUCCACUAGUCAAAGCAAAGAAGGAUUAAACAUAAGGUGACUCUAAGCAGCCACCUAGGCUGUAAAGGUUUGAAACCACAAAUUAGCUUGGCCCCAUUAACCAUCCUUAUGUAAAGAAUAUGGGGGGGUGGGGAGGGAGAAAACUUGUAAUCUGUCGAAUGCACCAGGGGGGUUUCUCUUUCUCUGUGUGAAAAAAAAAAAUGUGUCUAAAUUAUGUUUUUUACAAUAUGUUUUGUUAGCUUCCCUUGUGGUUUUUUUUUUUUUUUUUUUCGUUCUUGUGUUAUGUUCAUGGUUUGUGUUUGUUAGAAUGGGUUACAUUGAAAGCACCAGAUAACCUAAUUCAAUACUGUAAAGGCCAUGCUAUUCUGCUAAAUUAUUAGCAUUAUCAAUUUUGCAGCCUGUAGACAAUCACACAGAUCAUGUAAUUAUUUUAAUAAAAAGGGUGGAGGCAGACAGUUAAGGAUAUUCACAACAGAUGCCUUUUUGUUUUAAGUCAUUGUUUAAAGUUCUAUCCUGUCACUUCAAAAUGUUUUCAUGUUUAUUCAUUGUUAUUAAUCUUACUGGAUAUCAUUAAAGGUGAUUUCUUGCAUCAGAA